Molecule: ribosomal RNA, 303 nt
Filed under: uncultured bacterium
Lineage: Bacteria
Description: bacterial SSU rRNA
Rfam family: Bacterial small subunit ribosomal RNA
Source: RNAcentral
UGAGGAAUAUUGGUCAAUGGCCGAGAGGCUGAACCAGCCAAGUCGCGUGAGGGAAGAAUGUCCUAAGGAUUGUAAACCUCUUUUGUCGGGGAGCAAAAAGGCUCUGCGGAGUCGUAUUGAGAGUACCCGAAGAAAAAGCAUCGGCUAACUCCGUGCCAGCAGCCGCGGUAAUACGGAGGAUGCGAGCGUUAUCCGGAUUUAUUGGGUUUAAAGGGUGCGCAGGCGGCGUGUCAAGCAAGCGGUAAAAUAGCGGGGCUCAACCCCGUCGAGCCGUUUGAACUGGCGCGCUUGAGUUCAGGCGAG